Small nucleolar RNA from Delphinapterus leucas (beluga whale), 104 nucleotides. Ensembl annotates it as small nucleolar RNA U13. Lineage: Eukaryota; Metazoa; Chordata; Mammalia; Artiodactyla; Monodontidae. The record is from Ensembl.
AUCCUUUUGUAGUUCCUGAGCGUGAUGACUGGGUGUUCAUGAGGUUGUGUGACAUGUGCCUCCCUCAAACCUUGUUAUGACACCGGCAUGUUACCCGUCUGACA